CAUCUGGGGAGUGUACUGCUCUAUUCUGGGAGAGGGGCCAUGCAAAUCUAAGUUUCUGUUUCACAGAGCUCUCUCUCUCUGUCACACACAGUCAUGCACUUACACACCCAAUACUGCUCCACAGAUGUGUUAGCCAGCUGUGUGUGUCUGGUUGACCAACCAAUCACUGUGGCAUACCAACUUUUUUUUAUAGUCUAUGGGACUAUUUCACCUGUAUCUUCCUGAGGACAUUUGCAGACAUUGGAGUUUGGAAGAGUUAUGAAACUAGUUUGUAACCAUUAUUUCUGUGAGUUUGUAAAGUGUUUAUACUUGGUGAUGUCAUAUAACAAGACCUUUAGUUCUGUGUUCAGUGGACCAAUGAUGUGUGUCAUUUUGUACAGGAGGUUUUUGUACGGCUCUAAAUCACUGUGUGAACACACCUCCACUGUGGUAACUCUGACAGUAGUAAACUGCUGCAUCUUCAGCCUGGACUCCACUGAUGGUCAGAGUGAAGUCCGUCUCAGACCCACUGCCACUGAAUCUAGCAGGAAUCCCAUCUAACAGUUUCUUUGCGUAUAUUAUCAGGAGUUUGGGAGCUUCUCCAGGUCUCUGUUGAUACCAGAACACACCCUCAUCUCCAUCAUCCCAUCUGUGCACUUUAGGGUUGGUUGUACAGGUCAGAGUGACAGGGUCUCCUGGAGAAAAUGUCACUACAGGAGGCUGAGUCACAGUCACCUGACCUCUGGAUCCUGAAGAAGAAAAAUAUAAAUUGAUCAACGAGUAUGAAUAAGAUAUGACUUAUAUUUAAUUAUAUUUUAUGAAGGUACAUUUAUGAAUUGAGAUCCAUUUCAAUGAUUAUACAAGGUACUCAACAUGUAUUUUUCCAUUGUAAGAGUUAUAAAACAACAGACCUUUGAGACAGCAGCAGACCAGGGUCCAGAUAAAGAUGGUGAUCAGAGUCAUGGUUGCCGUCGUUUCUGUUGUGUUGAUGGACAGAUCUCAGUCCUGCAGUCUGAAACUCACAGGACUAUAAACACUCCCAGAGCACUGAAGCAUGAGCUGCCAAUGCAAAGCACCUGCUCUAUGGAAACACCCUACCUCAGGACAGAAUAAUAAACUGUAAAUAAUAAUCAUGUGAAAUGCUUUAUAUUUUUGUUGUUGACAGUAAAAUGGCACAAUUGUCAAUAUUGAUAUUUGUCGUAAAUGACAAUGUUUCACUCUGCCCAUAUGCAUUCUGUUAACAUAUGACAUCAUUGGAGUUAAAAACAUCUGGUUGGAGACAUUAAGGAGCUCAAAUCAGAGACUUCAUUAAUCAUAGUAUGCUAUAUAGGUACAUAAUGUGCUUAAUUAUUGUGGUUGUCUCACCAAGCAAUCUUAAGAUGAAUGGACUAAGAUGCUCUGGAUAAGAAUGUCUGCUAAAUGAAUAAAAUGUCAUGUAAUUGUAAAUGAUAAAACAUGAGUAUUGCUUGCUACAAUAUACUGUAGUUGUAUGUGAAGAUGUGUAAUGCUUUAUGAGUAUAGUAAAGUUGUACAACGCUGUGUGGAGCUGUAUGAGUGGUUCUGUUAGUGCAGGGUGUGCUCACUCUUGUGUGAAGGAGGUUUUUGUACGGCGUCUUAACUAGACUGUAUCACUGUGGUUCACGUUCGGUGGAGGGACCAAACUGCUGCUGAGAACUGGUCCUACUGUCAGUCCCACAGUGUCUCUGCUCCCCCCCUCCUCUGAGCAGCUCUCUGGGGGCUCUGCCUCACUGGCCUGCCUGCUGACUGACUACUCCCCUCAGGGGGCGCUGGUGAGCUGGGAGGUGGACGGGCUGGAGGUGAGACAGGGGGUCGUGACCAGUCCAGAAGAAGAGAAGGAAGGCCUUUACAGACGUAGCAGCACCCUGACCCUGAGCAAGGCAGGCUGGGAGCAGGGAGAGCUCUACACCUGCAGGGUCUCCCACUUCCAACACACCCAGGCCUCCCCCCUUCGCAGGAGCCAGUGUCUGGUCUAGGGACUACUGGAGGAGGCCCACAACAGGAGCUCUGUCUGGGGAAGCAGGAGUAGACGAGGCUCUGGUCUGGUCUGGGGCCUGGUUGGAGCAGUAGUAGUGUGUUAGAGUGUUAGAGUAGUGUACUGAGUAAACUCUAGUACUGCUGGGGAGACCACAUCCUGGGUAGUAAUGUGUAUUGUAUAGAUUACAGGAAACUUCAAUGUGUUCUGUACUCAGACUGUUACUGUGAUGUUGCUGUCUGCCUCAGUUCUAAUAAAGUUGAAUUUGGAAAAUAA
Molecule: long non-coding RNA, 2248 nt
Organism: Oncorhynchus nerka (sockeye salmon)
Lineage: Eukaryota; Metazoa; Chordata; Actinopteri; Salmoniformes; Salmonidae
Exons: 2
Source: RefSeq, a predicted model, not a curated record